CCCUUAGAUGUCCUGGGCCGCACGCGCGUUACACUGAUGCAUUCAACGAGCUUAUAACCUUGGCCGAGAGGCCUGGGCAAUCUUGUUAACGUGCAUCGUGAUAGGGAUAGAUUAUUGAAAUUAUUAACCUUGAACGAGGAAUUCCUAGUAAACGCAGAUCAUCAAUCUGCAUUGAUUACGUCCCUGCCCUUUGUACACACCGCCCGUCGCACCUACCGAUUGGAUGGUCCGGUGAAGCCUCGGGAUUGUGGUUCUUGCCGCUUUAUUGUAGCGUGACCGCGAGAACUUGUCUAAACCUUAUCAUCUAGAGGAAGGUGAAGUCGUAACA
RNAcentral lists this ribosomal RNA (328 nucleotides) under uncultured eukaryote. RNAcentral describes it as "partial 18S ribosomal RNA". It matches the Rfam family "Eukaryotic small subunit ribosomal RNA", at positions 1470 to 1796 of the family's 1831-position model. The record is from RNAcentral.